Molecule: long non-coding RNA, 499 nt
Organism: Chlorocebus sabaeus (green monkey)
Lineage: Eukaryota; Metazoa; Chordata; Mammalia; Primates; Cercopithecidae
Source: RefSeq, a predicted model, not a curated record
CAGUUGGUGCCGCGCUGUCAGUCCUCCUGGGCGCCUCGUGUCUCCCGGGCCAGCCAGUUUCAGUCUCCGGGCGAAGGGGCGCACAUGGAGGGCCCCAUGGGCAGAGGACCAAGACCUGAGAAACUGAAAACUGAGCAGAAGAGCUUAUUCCAGGUAUCUGAGAGGUGGCUCAGUGGGGCUGCCUACUAGUCCUGACAUCUCCCCUUCUUGCCUGCCACUAAUCUGAGACCCCUGCCGUCUAUCACUUUGUGGUGAGACCAGCCUAACCCAAUCAUCACAGUCAUCAAAGGACUUUGGAGGCCCUCAGGAAUGCUCGGGCAGUGAAAUCUAAACAUUUGGAGCUGGAGCAUCCUUGCGACUGGGAACUGAAGAAGGAGGGUGCUGCGCCAGCCUGACCUGACCCCAGCAUUGCAAACCCUGGAGCUUCCAGAGGGACUCUGGAGUCAGAGAAAACCCGGUGUAAAUCUCCCUUUUGUCAAUGUGAAAGUUGCUAAACAUC